GUACUUCUACCCCAGUUCUCCCGUCAACCCCUGCUUGAUCGUCGCUGCUCCUAACCUGGUUCACUCACCUCUGUCCUCCAUUCCAUCAGCUGGGCUCGCCACCCUGUCCUCUCCCCACGGACCUCUUCCACAGCGUCCUCCCAGCUCCUCCCCGUGCCUCCUUACUUCCUCGGUCCCCAGUGCCCCCGGCUCCCUUUUCUCAGUGUCCUCGGUUCCCCGUGCCCAUGUUUCCCCGGCGUCCGCCUCUCCCUCACCUCCACUCCCUCAACCCCUUUUUCCCUUCAAUAAAACCUGUUCAUCCCGAG
This is a long non-coding RNA of Micropterus dolomieu (smallmouth bass), 305 nucleotides long. RefSeq lists it as uncharacterized. The record is from RefSeq and is a predicted model, not a curated record. The transcript is spliced from 2 exons. Lineage: Eukaryota; Metazoa; Chordata; Actinopteri; Centrarchiformes; Centrarchidae.